This 1721-nucleotide ribosomal RNA is filed under the name Escherichia coli. Its description in RNAcentral is "partial 23S ribosomal RNA". It matches the Rfam family "Bacterial large subunit ribosomal RNA", at positions 1216 to 2915 of the family's 2925-position model. The record is from RNAcentral. Lineage: Bacteria; Pseudomonadati; Pseudomonadota; Gammaproteobacteria; Enterobacterales; Enterobacteriaceae.
AUGCGUUGUUGGGUAGGGGAGCGUUCUGUAAGCCUGCGAAGGUGUGCUGUGAGGCAUGCUGGAGGUAUCAGAAGUGCGAAUGCUGACAUAAGUAACGAUAAAGCGGGUGAAAAGCCCGCUCGCCGGAAGACCAAGGGUUCCUGUCCAACGUUAAUCGGGGCAGGGUGAGUCGACCCCUAAGGCGAGGCCGAAAGGCGUAGUCGAUGGGAAACAGGUUAAUAUUCCUGUACUUGGUGUUACUGCGAAGGGGGGACGGAGAAGGCUAUGUUGGCCGGGCGACGGUUGUCCCGGUUUAAGCGUGUAGGCUGGUUUUCCAGGCAAAUCCGGAAAAUCAAGGCUGAGGCGUGAUGACGAGGCACUGCGGUGCUGAAGCAACAAAUGCCCUGCUUCCAGGAAAAGCCUCUAAGCAUCAGGUAACAUCAAAUCGUACCCCAAACCGACACAGGUGGUCAGGUAGAGAAUACCAAGGCGCUUGAGAGAACUCGGGUGAAGGAACUAGGCAAAAUGGUGCCGUAACUUCGGGAGAAGGCACGCUGAUAUGUAGGUGAAGUCCCUCGCGGAUGGAGCUGAAAUCAGUCGAAGAUACCAGCUGGCUGCAACUGUUUAUUAAAAACACAGCACUGUGCAAACACGAAAGUGGACGUAUACGGUGUGACGCCUGCCCGGUGCCGGAAGGUUAAUUGAUGGGGUUAGCGCAAGCGAAGCUCUUGAUCGAAGCCCCGGUAAACGGCGGCCGUAACUAUAACGGUCCUAAGGUAGCGAAAUUCCUUGUCGGGUAAGUUCCGACCUGCACGAAUGGCGUAAUGAUGGCUAGGCUGUCUCCACCCGAGACUCAGUGAAAUUGAACUCGCUGUGAAGAUGCAGUGUACCCGCGGCAAGACGGAAAGACCCCGUGAACCUUUACUAUAGCUUGACACUGAACAUUGAGCCUUGAUGUGUAGGAUAGGUGGGAGGCUUUGAAGUGUGGACGCCAGUCUGCAUGGAGCCGACCUUGAAAUACCACCCUUUAAUGUUUGAUGUUCUAACGUUGACCCGUAAUCCGGGUUGCGGACAGUGUCUGGUGGGUAGUUUGACUGGGGCGGUCUCCUCCUAAAGAGUAACGGAGGAGCACGAAGGUUGGCUAAUCCUGGUCGGACAUCAGGAGGUUAGUGCAAUGGCAUAAGCCAGCUUGACUGCGAGCGUGACGGCGCGAGCAGGUGCGAAAGCAGGUCAUAGUGAUCCGGUGGUUCUGAAUGGAAGGGCCAUCGCUCAACGGAUAAAAGGUACUCCGGGGAUAACAGGCUGAUACCGCCCAAGAGUUCAUAUCGACGGCGGUGUUUGGCACCUCGAUGUCGGCUCAUCACAUCCUGGGGCUGAAGUAGGUCCCAAGGGUAUGGCUGUUCGCCAUUUAAAGUGGUACGCGAGCUGGGUUUAGAACGUCGUGAGACAGUUCGGUCCCUAUCUGCCGUGGGCGCUGGAGAACUGAGGGGGGCUGCUCCUAGUACGAGAGGACCGGAGUGGACGCAUCACUGGUGUUCGGGUUGUCAUGCCAAUGGCACUGCCCGGUAGCUAAAUGCGGAAGAGAUAAGUGCUGAAAGCAUCUAAGCACGAAACUUGCCCCGAGAUGAGUUCUCCCUGACUCCUUGAGAGUCCUGAAGGAACGUUGAAGACGACGACGUUGAUAGGCCGGGUGUGUAAGCGCAGCGAUGCGUUGAGCUAACCGGUACUAAUGAACCGUGAGG